RNAcentral lists this ribosomal RNA (532 nucleotides) under Citrobacter freundii. Its description in RNAcentral is "partial 23S ribosomal RNA". It matches the Rfam family "Bacterial large subunit ribosomal RNA", at positions 2261 to 2792 of the family's 2925-position model. Lineage: Bacteria; Pseudomonadati; Pseudomonadota; Gammaproteobacteria; Enterobacterales; Enterobacteriaceae. The record is from RNAcentral.
GUGGGUAGUUUGACUGGGGCGGUCUCCUCCUAAAGAGUAACGGAGGAGCACGAAGGUUAGCUAAUCCUGGUCGGACAUCAGGAGGUUAGUGCAAAGGCAUAAGCUAGCUUGACUGCGAGAGUGACGGCUCGAGCAGGUGCGAAAGCAGGUCUUAGUGAUCCGGUGGUUCUGAAUGGAAGGGCCAUCGCUCAACGGAUAAAAGGUACUCCGGGGAUAACAGGCUGAUACCGCCCAAGAGUUCAUAUCGACGGCGGUGUUUGGCACCUCGAUGUCGGCUCAUCACAUCCUGGGGCUGAAGUAGGUCCCAAGGGUAUGGCUGUUCGCCAUUUAAAGUGGUACGCGAGCUGGGUUUAGAACGUCGUGAGACAGUUCGGUCCCUAUCUGCCGUGGGCGCUGGAGAAUUGAGGGGGGCUGCUCCUAGUACGAGAGGACCGGAGUGGACGCAUCACUGGUGUUCGGGUUGUCAUGCCAAUGGCAUUGCCCGGUAGCUAAAUGCGGAAGAGAUAAGUGCUGAAAGCAUCUAAGCACGAAA